GACGAACGCUGGCGGCGUGCUUAACACAUGCAAGUCGAACGGAAAGGCCCUGCUUUUGUGGGGUGCUCGAGUGGCGAACGGGUGAGUAACACGUGAGUAACCUGCCCUUGACUUUGGGAUAACUUCAGGAAACUGGGGCUAAUACCGGAUAGGAGCUCCUGCUGCAUGGUGGGGGUUGGAAAGUUUCGGCGGUUGGGGAUGGACUCGCGGCUUAUCAGCUUGUUGGUGGGGUAGUGGCUUACCAAGGCUUUGACGGGUAGCCGGCCUGAGAGGGUGACCGGCCACAUUGGGACUGAGAUACGGCCCAGACUCCUACGGGAGGCAGCAGUGGGGAAUAUUGCACAAUGGGCGGAAGCCUGAUGCAGCAACGCCGCGUGCGGGAUGACGGCCUUCGGGUUGUAAACCGCUUUCGCCUGUGACGAAGCGUGAGUGACGGUAAUGGGUAAAGAAGCACCGGCUAACUACGUGCCAGCAGCCGCGGUGAUACGUAGGGUGCGAGCGUUGUCCGGAUUUAUUGGGCGUAAAGGGCUCGUAGGUGGUUGAUCGCGUCGGAAGUGUAAUCUUGGGGCUUAACCCUGAGCGUGCUUUCGAUACGGGUUGACUUGAGGAAGGUAGGGGAGAAUGGAAUUCCUGGUGGAGCGGUGGAAUGCGCAGAUAUCAGGAGGAACACCAGUGGCGAAGGCGGUUCUCUGGGCCUUUCCUGACGCUGAGGAGCGAAAGCGUGGGGAGCGAACAGGCUUAGAUACCCUGGUAGUCCACGCUGUAAACGGUGGGUACUAGGUGUGGGGUCCAUUCCACGGGUUCCGUGCCGUAGCUAACGCUUUAAGUACCCCGCCUGGGGAGUACGGCCGCAAGGCUAAAACUCAAAGGAAUUGACGGGGCCCCGCACAAGCGGCGGAGCAUGCGGAUUAAUUCGAUGCAACGCGUAGAACCUUACCUGGGUUUGACAUGGAUCGGGAGUGCUCAGAGAUGGGUGUGCCUCUUUUGGGGUCGGUUCACAGGUGGUGCAUGCCUGUCGUCAGCUCGUGUCGUGAGAUGUUGGGUUAAGUCCCGCAACGAGCGCAACCCUUGUUCACUGUUGCCAGCACGUUAUGGUGGGGACUCAGUGGAGACCGCCGGGGUCAACUCGGAGGAAGGUGGGGAUGACGUCAAGUCAUCAUGCCCCUUAUGUCCAGGGCUUCACGCAUGCUACAAUGGCUGGUACAGAGAGUGGCGAGCCUGUGAGGGUGAGCGAAUCUCGGAAAGUCGGUCUCAGUUCGGAUUGGGGUCUGCAACUCGACCUCAUGAAGUCGGAGUCGCUAGUAAUCGCAGAUCAGCAACGCUGCGGUGAAUACGUUCCCGGGGCU
RNAcentral lists this ribosomal RNA (1346 nucleotides) under uncultured bacterium. Its description in RNAcentral is "partial 16S ribosomal RNA". It matches the Rfam family "Bacterial small subunit ribosomal RNA", at positions 28 to 1381 of the family's 1533-position model. The record is from RNAcentral.